This 548-nucleotide ribosomal RNA is filed under the name Penicillium crustosum. RNAcentral describes it as "eukaryotic LSU rRNA". The stretch from base 167 to 319 matches the Rfam family "5.8S ribosomal RNA". Lineage: Eukaryota; Fungi; Ascomycota; Eurotiomycetes; Eurotiales; Aspergillaceae. The record is from RNAcentral.
GAGACUCUGGGUCCACCUCCCACCCGUGUUUAUUUUACCUUGUUGCUUCGGCGGGCCCGCCUUAACUGGCCGCCGGGGGGCUUACGCCCCCGGGCCCGCGCCCGCCGAAGACACCCUCGAACUCUGUCUGAAGAUUGAAGUCUGAGUGAAAAUAUAAAUUAUUUAAAACUUUCAACAACGGAUCUCUUGGUUCCGGCAUCGAUGAAGAACGCAGCGAAAUGCGAUACGUAAUGUGAAUUGCAAAUUCAGUGAAUCAUCGAGUCUUUGAACGCACAUUGCGCCCCCUGGUAUUCCGGGGGGCAUGCCUGUCCGAGCGUCAUUGCUGCCCUCAAGCCCGGCUUGUGUGUUGGGCCCCGUCCCCCGAUCUCCGGGGGACGGGCCCGAAAGGCAGCGGCGGCACCGCGUCCGGUCCUCGAGCGUAUGGGGCUUUGUCACCCGCUCUGUAGGCCCGGCCGGCGCUUGCCGAUCAACCCAAAUUUUUAUCCAGGUUGACCUCGGAUCAGGUAGGGAUACCCGCUGAACUUAAGCAUAUCAAUAAGCGAGGGAAA